CCCUUAGAUGUUCUGGGCCGCACGCGCGCUACACUGACGAUGGCAACGAGUUUUUCCUUCGCCGAAAGGUGUGGGUAAUCUUUUGAAACAUCGUCGUGCUGGAGAUAGAUCAUUGCAAUUUUUGAUCUUGAACGAGGAAUUCCUAGUAAGCGCGAGUCAUCAGCUCGCGUUGAUUACGUCCCUGCCCUUUGUACACACCGCCCGUCGCUACUACCGAUUGAAUGGUUUAGUGAGGACUCCUGAUUGGCGCCGCCGCCCCGGCAACGGAGCAGCGGACUGCCGAAAAGUUGUUCAAACUUGAUCAUUUAGAGGAAGUAAAAGUCGUAACA
This 329-nucleotide ribosomal RNA is filed under the name uncultured eukaryote. RNAcentral describes it as "partial 18S ribosomal RNA". It matches the Rfam family "Eukaryotic small subunit ribosomal RNA", at positions 1470 to 1796 of the family's 1831-position model. The record is from RNAcentral.